Telopea speciosissima is the source of this 105-nucleotide long non-coding RNA. RefSeq lists it as uncharacterized. NCBI's taxonomy places the organism in Eukaryota, Viridiplantae, Streptophyta, Magnoliopsida, Proteales, Proteaceae. The transcript is spliced from 3 exons. The record is from RefSeq and is a predicted model, not a curated record.
UCUCAAAGAACUAAAGACGUUUCCAAUACCGACAGCGGCUCCCGCUGAAGCAAUUGUAGCAGCUCCGGCACCUAUUGAUUUUGCACCUUCUAACAUCUUUUUCUU